CGAUCUUAGCCUAGUCUGACCAAGCAAAAGACUUUAAGUUUGCCCCCCCGAAACUAAGUGAGCUACUUAAGAAUAGCUUCCUAGAGCCAACCCCUCUCUGUCGCAAAAGAGUGGGACAAUUUUUAAGUAGAGGCGAUAAACCAACCGAACUCAGAGAUAGCUGGUUUUUUAAGAAAUGAAUUUUAGUUCAGCCCUAAGCCUCAAAACUAAACAGAAAGUUUACUUAGACUUAGGAGUUAUUCAGAUAAGGCACAGCUUAUCUGAAACAGGAUACAACCUGCAUUAUUGGGUAAGAUAUUGAAUUGAGAUUAAGUAGGCCUAAAAGCAGCCACCUUUAAAAUAGCGUCAAAGCUUAAUUUGAUAAUUUUAUUAAUUUCCUAAACUACCUCUAACCCAUUUUUUCUAUUAAAAAACUCCAUAAAACUAUGGAAAUUAUUAUGCUAGAACGAGUAACAAGAAAAAGAAUUUCUCCAAAAUGUAAGCUUAAGCCACAAUAGACACCCUACUGGCAGUUAACGUUUAUAAAUAAUUUGUAGUAACAUCAACAAGAAAACUCUAUAUUUUUUUACGUCAAUCUUACACUAGAACAUUUAUGGAAAGAUUAAAAAAAGAGGAAGGAACUCGGCAAAUAUAAAUCCCGCCUGUAUUU
Molecule: ribosomal RNA, 649 nt
Filed under: Boophis tasymena
Lineage: Eukaryota; Metazoa; Chordata; Amphibia; Anura; Mantellidae
Description: partial 16S ribosomal RNA
Rfam family: Bacterial large subunit ribosomal RNA (bases 1-444)
Source: RNAcentral